Molecule: ribosomal RNA, 275 nt
Filed under: uncultured bacterium
Lineage: Bacteria
Description: partial 16S ribosomal RNA
Rfam family: Bacterial small subunit ribosomal RNA
Source: RNAcentral
CAAACUUCCGAUGGCGACCGGCGCACGGGUGAGUAACACGUAUCCAACCUGCCGAUAACUCGGGGAUAGCCUUUCGAAAGAAAGGUUAAUAUCCGAUAGGAUAUCAAGAUCGCAUGAUCUUGAUAUUAAAGAAUUUCGGUUAUCGAUGGGGAUGCGUUCCAUUAGUUAGUUGGCGGGGUAACGGCCCACCAAGACGACGAUGGAUAGGGGUUCUGAGAGGAAGGUCCCCCACAUUGGAACUGAGACACGGUCCAAACUCCUACGGGAGGCAGCAG